Molecule: ribosomal RNA, 465 nt
Filed under: Vreelandella stevensii
Lineage: Bacteria; Pseudomonadati; Pseudomonadota; Gammaproteobacteria; Oceanospirillales; Halomonadaceae
Description: partial 16S ribosomal RNA
Rfam family: Bacterial small subunit ribosomal RNA
Source: RNAcentral
CCUACGGGGCGCAGCAGUGGGGAAUAUUGGACAAUGGGCGAAAGCCUGAUCCAGCCAUGCCGCGUGUGUGAAGAAGGCCUUCGGGUUGUAAAGCACUUUCAGUGGGGAAGAAAGCCUUGGGGCUAAUACCCUCGAGGAAGGACAUCACCCACAGAAGAAGCACCGGCUAACUCCGUGCCAGCAGCCGCGGUAAUACGGAGGGUGCGAGCGUUAAUCGGAAUUACUGGGCGUAAAGCGCGCGUAGGCGGUCUGAUAAGCCGGUUGUGAAAGCCCCGGGCUCAACCUGGGAACGGCAUCCGGAACUGUCAGGCUAGAGUGCAGGAGAGGAAGGUAGAAUUCCCGGUGUAGCGGUGAAAUGCGUAGAGAUCGGGAGGAAUACCAGUGGCGAAGGCGGCCUUCUGGACUGACACUGACGCUGAGGUGCGAAAGCGUGGGUAGCAAACAGGAUUAGAUACCCGUGUAGUC